UACGAGGCUAGAGUCUUGCCUGGGCAUGGCGUUGUCCGGGUGUGCUGGAGUCCUCGGAGAGCAGCCACUGGCCUUAUUCGCUGGCUGUGGCCGUGUGGCCUGGCUGGUCACCAGGCCAGGAACAGGU
Small nucleolar RNA from Erinaceus europaeus (western European hedgehog), 127 nucleotides. NCBI's taxonomy places the organism in Eukaryota, Metazoa, Chordata, Mammalia, Eulipotyphla, Erinaceidae. The record is from Ensembl.